RNAcentral lists this ribosomal RNA (278 nucleotides) under uncultured soil bacterium. RNAcentral's name for it is "partial 16S ribosomal RNA". It matches the Rfam family "Bacterial small subunit ribosomal RNA", at positions 26 to 334 of the family's 1533-position model. The record is from RNAcentral.
AGAGCGAACGCUGGCGGCAGGCCUAAUACAUGCAAGUCGAACGGAUCCUUCGGGAUCAGUGGCGGACGGGUGAGUAACGCGUGGGAAUAUGCCCUUUGGUACGGAACAACUGAGGGAAACUUCAGCUAAUACCGUAUGUGCCCUUCGGGGGAAAGAUUUAUCGCCAUUGGAGUAGCCCGCGUUGGAUUAGCUAGUUGGUAGGUAAAGCCUACCAAGGCUACGAUCCAUAGCUGGUCUGAGAGGAUGAUCAGCCACACUGGGACUGAGACACGGCCCAG